CGACUUAACGUCCAGGCUGGAUUCGGAGACAAACGGCAAACCUUAUGCUCAAGCUGUGCUGUGCUUUGUCAAGUCAAGGUUCUGCCUAUUUCUUUCAAAAUGCGCUGGGACUUGUGUACCGUGCCGUGGAUUUGAUAGAGUGGAACUGGAGAGAAGGAAAACACUUGCAGACUUGAAAGAACAGAUACCGAAUCGAAUCUGCAGUGAGCAAGGAGCCCGGUAGACGACUAUAAGACGAUGAUGUAUUUUGAUAACUGAGCGAAGCGGAUAAUCAUAGUCAUAUAUAUAACACGACGACACCAAACACUCGAGGUCCCUACUUCAGCGGCGGCCCUUGCUGCUACCACCGCCGAGACCACGUAGACGACCAGCGGAAGUCGCGGCGGCACAACCGGCGACGGCCGCCGCUCGUCGGCGACAGCUUCUAGCCGUAGGUGGCCCGGUGGAACCGCUAGGUAGGCCCGCGGAGGCAGCUGCAGAGCGGCGAGGAGGAGCCGGACGUCCCCGUCCUGGUUCUUACCCACUGGUAGCCUAAAUUGUUGGGGUUCGGCAGUUUCCUACUGACCUAACCCCAGAAAAGGGGACGAUUAAAGUCACUGAGGUAAACGGGCAGCCUCUUGGUUACCCAGCUCCGGGGGGAAAACACGUGCCGAGGAUAAUUCAAGGUUAUACGUUUGAUGUGCUGCCGGCUGAUACGUUUCUGACCUUUCCCCAGGAACUCCGAAGUCUAUUAAUUAGUCUCCUCACUAUAUAGUAAGCGUAACAAAAGACCUCCGGAGAGUUUAGGCUUCGAAUAACGUGCAAGUUUAUCGUAUUGAAAGCGUUUGGGCUUCCGAGGACACAUGGGUGCGGACCGUGUUCCUUUCAGGACCCUACUUUACUGUCACUGUACCUGUUCACCUAUGUCAUGGUUCCUCCGAUGUGGCAAACAACUUACCCCGUAUGUCCCAGUUUAGGUUUAGGAAAGAGGACGUCCGUGGGAAUGCAAGUCAGCGCUGUGAUACACACCGGGCGGACGAUCCUGUCAACCUACCGCACUAGGACCAAAGUAUGUAUGUUCAAAGGAGUUCCUGGAUACCGGAUUAGAAUUCAUGUGCAUGUCCUAACCGGUAACCGAUAAGUUACCAGUUUAACAAACCCCAGUAGUCUUGUCGAAGUUUCGCGGAGGGAUAGGACCCCUCCUAAGAAACGUUGCACAACAGUAUAAACCUCUAAACCCGUUCCGGCUCUAACUACCGAGUUUACUUAUGUUACUGAAACUCGCACCAAGCUAGUUGUGAUGAAUGGUCGAUCAAUUCCUGAACUUCUUAUAGCUAUACCACUACGUAUAGCCUCUGUAGACGAUGCGGUCACCAAUAGACAGUGUCACCCUAGUCAAGUGACGUGUUCAACUUGGGUAACGGAGAUGACAUGGAAUGUACCACCGUUCGCCAUUGGUGCUUUCUCUGACCGGACCUAGUCCGAGGAAAAUACCCUGAGACCUGAGCCCGCCGCUUACGCCGCACGGUCGAGUCUUGUACAAGAUACACGGUCGUCUCUUGGCACUCGUCAAGACCAUGAGCUGCCUGAUGCCCUACAAGGCCAAGACGUAUCGGUUGUGCCUCGACCUGACCGCCGGUCCGUGGCUCGUCAUGUUCAAGUAGCUCGUGACGAACAGCAGGCACCUGGCCGUCUUCGUCGGCACCGAGUAGAAGGAGCGGGUGGCGCAGGACCCCAUGAGCAGCCGGUGGAAGAUGCCGCGGCUUCCCUGCUGCCUCCUCGGGUACCCGUCCCUCUCGGAGGUCGAGGAGACCGUCUUCAUGUCCCAGCUGUAGCGGUACAUGCCGGUGCAGGUGCCGAUGCUCGCUUGCACGGGUCAUAUGCUCUUGCACACGCACCGCUUCCCCAGCCUGGCCAUGUCGCCGCGCAAGUGCCGCUGCUGCGUGCACCACCACCCGCCGCCGCCCCGCUCGGACCGCCUCAUGUGCCGCCUCGCCCGCGCCACCUCGGUGCGCGUCCUGGACCUGAUGCCCAAGCGGUUCGACUGCCGGAAGUUGGUGUGCUGCGACGAGUACCUCAUGUUCGCCUCGUCCCUGCCGUCGCACGCGCUGUCGAAGUGGCAGAGCGCGCUGAUGGCGCUGCAGGAGCGGACGCCGCAGCUGUUGACGCGGUCGUGGUGGUACCGCAGAAUCGUGGCGAGACAUACGACGGCGAGCCAACACAACCAACAACCUAGCUACCUGCGUUAAAACCAGAGCACUACUAUGAACCUAUCUAUACGUCACAAAACUUAAAGCUACCGUUAUCGUCCUGUCGUCUGCCUUUUUGAGCAGUAAUCUCGUAGAGAAAAAAAAUUUUUUAUUUUUGAAAGUUAAAUAUAAGUAGUUUGUAGUACUGUCAUGUACAUAGUGGAUCG
This 2395-nucleotide ribosomal RNA is filed under the name Triticum aestivum (bread wheat). RNAcentral describes it as "partial small subunit ribosomal RNA". Lineage: Eukaryota; Viridiplantae; Streptophyta; Magnoliopsida; Poales; Poaceae. The record is from RNAcentral.